This 390-nucleotide ribosomal RNA is filed under the name uncultured bacterium. RNAcentral describes it as "partial 16S ribosomal RNA". It matches the Rfam family "Bacterial small subunit ribosomal RNA", at positions 355 to 739 of the family's 1533-position model. The record is from RNAcentral.
UGGGGAAUUUUGGACAAUGGGCGAAAGCCUGAUCCAGCAAUGCCGCGUGUGUGAAGAAGGCCUUCGGGUUGUAAAGCACUUUUGUCCGGAAAGAAAUCCUUGGCUCUAAUACAGUCGGGGGAUACGGUACCGGAAGAAUAAGCACCGGCUAACUACGUGCCAGCAGCCGCGGUAAUACGUAGGGUGCAAGCGUUAAUCGGAAUUACUGGGCGUAAAGCGUGCGCAGGCGGUUUGCUAAGACCGAUGUGAAAUCCCCGGGCUCAACUGGGAACUGCAUUGGUGACUGGCAGGCUAGAGUAUGGCAGAGGGGGGUAGAAUUCCACGUGUAGCAGUGAAAUGCGUAGAGAUGUGGAGGAAUACCGAUGGCGAAGGCAGCCCCCUGGGCCAAUA